This 497-nucleotide ribosomal RNA is filed under the name uncultured bacterium. RNAcentral describes it as "partial 16S ribosomal RNA". It matches the Rfam family "Bacterial small subunit ribosomal RNA", at positions 28 to 507 of the family's 1533-position model. The record is from RNAcentral.
GAUGAACGCUGGCGGCGUGCCUAAUACAUGCAAGUCGAGCGAACGGACGAGAAGCUUGCUACUCUGAUGUUAGCGGCGGACGGGUGAGUAACACGUGGAUAACCUACCUAUAAGACUGGGAUAACCUCGGGAAACCGGAGCUAAUACCGGAUAAUAUUUUGAACCGCAUGGUUCAAAAGUGAAAGACGGUCUUGCUGUCACUUAUAGAUGGAUCCGCGCUGCAUUAGCUAGUUGGUAAGGUAACGGCUUACCAAGGCAACGAUGCAUAGCCGACCUGAGAGGGUGAUCGGCCACACUGGAACUGAGACACGGUCCAGACUCCUACGGGAGGCAGCAGUAGGGAAUCUUCCGCAAUGGGCGAAAGCCUGACGGAGCAACGCCGCGUGAGUGAUGAAGGUCUUCGGAUCGUAAAACUCUGUUAUUAGGGAAGAACAUAUGUGUAAGUAACUGUGCACAUCUUGACGGUACCUAAUCAGAAAGCCACGGCUAACUACGUG